RNAcentral lists this ribosomal RNA (1598 nucleotides) under Salmonella enterica subsp. enterica serovar Enteritidis. RNAcentral's name for it is "partial 23S ribosomal RNA". It matches the Rfam family "Bacterial large subunit ribosomal RNA", at positions 1223 to 2803 of the family's 2925-position model. Lineage: Bacteria; Pseudomonadati; Pseudomonadota; Gammaproteobacteria; Enterobacterales; Enterobacteriaceae. The record is from RNAcentral.
GUUGGGUAGGGGAGCGUUCUGUAAGCCUGUGAAGGUGUGUCGUGAGGCAUGCUGGAGGUAUCAGAAGUGCGAAUGCUGACAUAAGUAACGAUAAAGCGGGUGAAAAGCCCGCUCGCCGGAAGACCAAGGGUUCCUGUCCAACGUUAAUCGGGGCAGGGUGAGUCGACCCCUAAGGCGAGGCCGAAAGGCGUAGUCGAUGGGAAACGGGUUAAUAUUCCCGUACUUGGUGUUACUGCGAAGGGGGGACGGAGAAGGCUAUGUUGGCCGGGCGACGGUUGUCCCGGUUUAAGCGUGUAGGUGUGUGUUCCAGGUAAAUCCGGUUCACUUUAACACUGAGGCGUGACGACGAGGCACUACGGUGCUGAAGCAACAAAUGCCCUGCUUCCAGGAAAAGCCUCUAAGCAUCAGGUAACAUCAAAUCGUACCCCAAACCGACACAGGUGGUCAGGUAGAGAAUACCAAGGCGCUUGAGAGAACUCGGGUGAAGGAACUAGGCAAAAUGGUGCCGUAACUUCGGGAGAAGGCACGCUGACACGUAGGUGAAGUGAUUUACUCAUGGAGCUGAAGUCAGUCGAAGAUACCAGCUGGCUGCAACUGUUUAUUAAAAACACAGCACUGUGCAAACACGAAAGUGGACGUAUACGGUGUGACGCCUGCCCGGUGCCGGAAGGUUAAUUGAUGGGGUCAGCGCAAGCGAAGCUCCUGAUCGAAGCCCCGGUAAACGGCGGCCGUAACUAUAACGGUCCUAAGGUAGCGAAAUUCCUUGUCGGGUAAGUUCCGACCUGCACGAAUGGCGUAAUGAUGGCCAGGCUGUCUCCACCCGAGACUCAGUGAAAUUGAACUCGCUGUGAAGAUGCAGUGUACCCGCGGCAAGACGGAAAGACCCCGUGAACCUUUACUAUAGCUUGACACUGAACAUUGAGCCUUGAUGUGUAGGAUAGGUGGGAGGCUUUGAAGUGUGGACGCCAGUCUGCAUGGAGCCGACCUUGAAAUACCACCCUUUAAUGUUUGAUGUUCUAACGUGGACCCGUUACCCGGGUUGCGGACAGUGUCUGGUGGGUAGUUUGACUGGGGCGGUCUCCUCCUAAAGAGUAACGGAGGAGCACGAAGGUUGGCUAAUCCUGGUCGGACAUCAGGAGGUUAGUGCAAUGGCAUAAGCCAGCUUGACUGCGAGCGUGACGGCGCGAGCAGGUGCGAAAGCAGGUCAUAGUGAUCCGGUGGUUCUGAAUGGAAGGGCCAUCGCUCAACGGAUAAAAGGUACUCCGGGGAUAACAGGCUGAUACCGCCCAAGAGUUCAUAUCGACGGCGGUGUUUGGCACCUCGAUGUCGGCUCAUCACAUCCUGGGGCUGAAGUAGGUCCCAAGGGUAUGGCUGUUCGCCAUUUAAAGUGGUACGCGAGCUGGGUUUAGAACGUCGUGAGACAGUUCGGUCCCUAUCUGCCGUGGGCGCUGGAGAACUGAGGGGGGCUGCUCCUAGUACGAGAGGACCGGAGUGGACGCAUCACUGGUGUUCGGGUUGUCAUGCCAAUGGCACUGCCCGGUAGCUAAAUGCGGAAGAGAUAAGUGCUGAAAGCAUCUAAGCACGAAACUUGCCCCGAG